UACGGAGGGUGCAAGCGUUGUUCGGAAUUACUGGGCGUAAAGCGCGCGUAGGUGGUCUAUUAAGUCAGAUGUGAAAGUCCCUGGCUCAACUGGGGAAGUGCAUAUGAAACUGGUAGACUUGAGUACUGGAGGGGGAAGUGGAAUUCCCGGUGUAGAGGUGAAAUUCGUAGAUAUCGGGAGGAAUACCGGUGGCGAAGGCGACUUCCUGGCCAGAUACUGACACUGAGGUGCGAAAGCGUGGGUAGCAAACAGG
Molecule: ribosomal RNA, 253 nt
Filed under: uncultured bacterium
Lineage: Bacteria
Description: partial 16S ribosomal RNA
Rfam family: Bacterial small subunit ribosomal RNA
Source: RNAcentral